GACGAACGCUGGCGGCGUGCCUAAUACAUGCAAGUCGAGCGCAGGAAGUCAUCCGAACCCUUCGGGGGGACGUUGACGGAAUGAGCGGCGGACGGGUGAGUAACACGUAAAGAACCUGCCCUCAGGUCUGGGAUAACCACGAGAAAUCGGGGCUAAUACCGGAUGGGUCAUCGGACCGCAUGGUCCGAGGAUGAAAGGCGCUCCGGCGUCGCCUGGGGAUGGCUUUGCGGUGCAUUAGCUAGUUGGUGGGGUAAUGGCCCACCAAGGCGACGAUGCAUAGCCGACCUGAGAGGGUGAUCGGCCACACUGGGACUGAGACACGGCCCAGACUCCUACGGGAGGCAGCAGUAGGGAAUCUUCCACAAUGGACGAAAGUCUGAUGGGGCAACGCCGCGUGAACGAUGAAGGCCCUCGGGUCGUAAAGUUCUGUUGUAAGGGAAGAACAAGUGCCGCAGGCAAUGGCGGCACCUUGACGGUACCUUGCGAGAAAGCCACGGCUAACUACGUG
RNAcentral lists this ribosomal RNA (508 nucleotides) under uncultured bacterium. RNAcentral's name for it is "partial 16S ribosomal RNA". It matches the Rfam family "Bacterial small subunit ribosomal RNA", at positions 28 to 507 of the family's 1533-position model. The record is from RNAcentral.